Molecule: ribosomal RNA, 323 nt
Filed under: uncultured eukaryote
Lineage: Eukaryota
Description: partial 18S ribosomal RNA
Rfam family: Eukaryotic small subunit ribosomal RNA
Source: RNAcentral
CCCUUAGAUGUUCUGGGCCGCACGCGUGCUACACUGAACGGUUCAAUGGGUAAGGUAGUGCGAAAGCAUGACCUAAUCUCGAAAUCCGUUCGUGCUGGGGAUAGAAGCUUGCAAUUAUCCUUCUUGAACGAGGAAUACCUUGUAAGCGUGAGUCAUCAUCUCACGCUGAAUACGUCCCUGCCCUUUGUACACACCGCCCGUCGCUCCUACCGAUUGAGUGUUCCGGUGAGGCUUUGGGAGAAUGGCCUCAACAUGAGUUUAUCGUGUUUUGCCGUUUGAACUUAGUCAAACCUUAUCACUUAGAGGAAGGUGAAGUCGUAACA